This 253-nucleotide ribosomal RNA is filed under the name uncultured bacterium. Its description in RNAcentral is "partial 16S ribosomal RNA". It matches the Rfam family "Bacterial small subunit ribosomal RNA", at positions 524 to 776 of the family's 1533-position model. The record is from RNAcentral.
UACGAGGGGGGCAAGCGUUGUUCGGAAUUACUGGGCGUAAAGCGCGCGUAGGCGGACCUGCAAGUCGGGGGUGAAAGCCCGAGGCUCAACCUCGGAACUGCCUUCGAUACUGCGGGUCUCGAGUCCGGGAGAGGUGAGUGGAAUUCCUAGUGUAGCGGUGAAAUGCGUAGAUAUUGGGAGGAACACCAGUGGCGAAGGCGGCUCACUGGCCCGAUACUGACGCUGAGGCGCGAAAACGUGGGGAGCAAACAGG